CCCUAGUGUUGACAGUGGGUUACUUGCCAUUAAUUUUUAUACCCCUUCCAAAUUUAUUUCUCCAUGUUUAAUGCCUCAAAUUGCAAGUAGGGGGGUGAAAUUACACUGUAAAAAAAUUUGGGUCCAGAAUUUUAAAGGAAAGUAGUGAUUUGGUCCAGGUGAAAAAGGUUGAAAAUUAGCACUUCAAGUUCGGAAGCUGUCAAAAGAUUUCAAGACGCUCUAAACAUAAAAUUGUCCAUAUUUUGAGUUAGAGCCGAUGAAGUUUUCUAUAAUUUUGAUAUAAUUUGUCCCAAAAGUAGUACAACACACUGGAAAAGUUUCUUUGAGAAAGCGCAGGUGGGAUUUUUUUUAUUUUCAUUUAUGUUCUAAAAGAAAUGCACUACGAAAUGAUUGUGGUCUCGGACCUAAGAUUUAUUGGAGAAUACAUUUAUUUAACUACUCUUAUAUGCUUAAUUUUUUUAGUGAUUUGCCAGAUAAUUGCAAAGAAACCUGUUAAUUGUAUCAUAAUAUAUCUUAUAGGUUUUUUAGCCAACUCAAAAUCAUGCUUUUAGGACCCCCUUGUUGUACUGAGGAAGUGGACCGCUCAAGAAGAUGAAAGGUAAUGUAAAUAUAAAAAUAAGAAAAUGUAGUAUGAUUGCCAAUAAGAAAAGAGAGGAAUUUGUAAAAGUGAAAAUUCACUUGUUUUCCAAUCCUAAUACUAAUAAAAGUGUCUUAUAUUGUAAUGUUUAAAUUACCUAAUUAUUUAAAAAAAAAAAUUGUUUACACUAAUGAGAAAAGACAACUCUCCAUCAGAGAUCAAAUGACAUCAAAGUUAACAACUAUAGGUCAACAUACAUCCUUUAACCAUGAGCAAAGCCCAUACAUUAUACCAUAUAUACUGUAAAUUCUGAAAUAUUGUGUGCAUUUAUUAUUGCCACCAUUGCCAUUUUCAGUGGCAGAUCCAGAAAUUUUUCAUAAGUGAGGGCCCACUGACUGCCUAAGAGGGGGCCCGUCCUCGGUCAUGAUUCAGUGAUUCCCUAUAUAAUCAACCAAAUUUUUCCCAGAAAAGGGGGGCCCUGGCCCCCACCUAAAUCCGCCUCUGAUUUUAUCAUUUAAGACUUAAAUGCAAGUUUAAUUUUUAGGAUUUUGAGAAAAAUCCUGUUAAAUUCAUAAAAAAUAUUUCAAAAUGCGAGUUUAAAUUAUUGCGUUUACAACUAAACUCUGUCCAUUUUUAGCAAUAAUCAUGCUAAUAAAAACCUCACAAUAAUUUCUGAAUUUACAGUAGUCUGGUAUAUAAAAAGACCCUAAAUGAAAACGAAAAAUUUGUAAAACAAUUCAAACUGAAUUACAGGCUUCUGACAUGGGACAGGCACAUACUAAUUGAAGGAUGUGAUGGGGGCUAGACUAUAUAGCUAGCAGUUUGUGGUGCCAAACCCACCUAACCUGGUACAUGUAUAUUGAUGUGAAAAGGGCUUAACUCACCAGAUCUAUACAGUAUACAAAAAAGAAAUGCAUCUAACAAAAACACACACAAGACGUGUUUUUUGACAGUAAAUUUAUUCACACAUUGGCAAGAUACAUGUACAUUGAAAAGUUGUUCUUUUGUUAAAUGCCUGAAGUACGGAUUAUAACACAAAUGACAACAGGCCCGAGAACACAGUUCUUUCGUAGUGCAUUAAAUUCAAAUUUAAAAAAUCGCACCUGCUCUUUCUCAAAAAGAUUUUUACAGUGUAGUGUACUACCAGUGAGACAAAUAAUAUCAAAAUUAUAGAAACUUCUACCAGCUCUAAUGUUCACGAGUUUAGUCUUUCCUAUAUCAAAAUGGUGUAUUUUAACAUUUUUGCCUAUUAACUUAAAACAGCAAAACAAGAUCUAAUAAACAUCUGACAGUAAUUAAUGCCUAGAAUGAUUUUUUAACUGUAUACAGCAGAAUAGAUAAAUUAAAACCAGAAAGUUCAUACUGUACAUAUAUUUAUUAGCUAAGCUGUUGAUCUUCUUUCUGUUGUUUGCUUACAUGUUCUUUGCAUUCACUCAAAAGUAAAAGUACAUAUAGUUCUGUAAAGGUAUAAAUUAGUGAGCAUCAGUUCAAUAUGUUCAUACUACAUCUAGUUUUUGUCUGGACUUCAUGGACUUCUUGAUUAAAUAAUUUAGAUUUUAUACAAUUUUAGCUUGUUACCAAAAGAAUGGAAAGUACAGUAUUAAAACCACUGGUGAACAUGUACUGUACAUGUAGGUGUGAAUGUCCUGCAAAAAGAACUGAUAUCAAAGUAUGUUCAUCUGCAGAAUUGCAGUAAAUAUAAAUAAUUUGAUGCACUCUGUUCUCAAGUAUAAUUGUACAUGUACACUUGCUUAUUUUUCUCUCUUUCCAAUGUCAAGUAUGCUUCAAGGCAUCCUUACCCUGAUCCCCUCCUGCUCCAUACACACACACUCAGAAGUUCAAAUAAUCAGCAUUUAUAUAUUACAAACCUACCUAGUCAGACUGGCCUAUACAAUGUAUAUUAUGAAUUGACAAGUUGUUCUUGUUUUGAAUACAUAAAAUAUUUGCCACUGGACAUAGUUUCCGUACAAUAACUUUAGUUUAAGUAAAUGGAUUCUAUCUCUAUGAAAUUUAAAUACAAGGUUUGAACCCACACAAGGAAGAUUGGGAUUGAUUUUGGGGUUAUGGUCCCAACAGUUUAGGAACAAGGAGCCCAAAAGGGGUCAAAAUAAGUAUUUUCCUAGGUUCCAGACAAUUACUUGUGUAUAAGUGUAUGGAUCUUUCUGAAAUUGUACCACAAGGACUUGAAGGUUCCAUACCAAAAAAAAAAAAGGUUGGGAUUGAUUUUGGGGGUUAUCAUGGUUAUGGCACAAACUGUUUAUGAAUUAGGGGCCAAAAACAAUACUUCUCUAAUACUUUGUAUAAGUUGCUUAUUUCUAGACCAAUUUCAAUGGGGUUUUAUUCUUGAAUUCUUGGGGUUCUUUAAUAUGCUGAAUCAAACCCUGUAUUAAGUUUUUUUUAAUUUGGUCCCCGUUUUUAUACGACCGCAAAAUGUUUGCGUUCUUAUAUUGGUAUCACGUUGUCGGCUAUAUAAAAUGUACAAUAUACAAUGCAAUAUUCACUUAACUACCAACUGAUAAAUUAAAGCAAUCUUCACCAUUCAGUGAUUACAAGCACUCUGAUUACCAUUCUAGGGUUAUGCCCCUUUACAAGUGGAAAAAUUGAAGAAUUUUUUAGUUUCUGUUCUCUUAACUUAAGUUUGUCUCAACUAAAUUUAAUGAAAUGUGUAUAAUAAUGCUUAUUACCUCUAAACUCAGUUUAAGUUCAAUUUUUGGCAUCUUCACUUUUACAGUUCUUGAGUUAUGUCCCUUUAUAACGUCAUAUGUAAGCAGGGGGCAUCAUCUGUGUCCUUUUGGACACAUUCCCCAUUUAUUUUUUUAGAAGUUACUAUUAAUUCUAACCAUGACUGUAUGACAUUUUAUAUUUUAAUAUUUUAUGAUGUAUUUAAAUGAGUAGUUAUUGUUGCAAACUCCAUUAGAAUUUUGAAUUGAGAUCAUUUUUGGAAUAAGAGAAAGGGGGACGUGGAAAAAAAUUGGGGUGGGGGUCAAUUUUUUUUUCUCAUUUUAGAUUUCAGAAUUUAAAAAGAAAAUUUCUUCAAAUAUUUUUUUUUUGAGAGGAUUAAUAUUCAACAGCAUAGUAAAUUGCUCAAAAGCAAAAAAAAAAAAAAUUAAGUUCAUUAGACCACAUUUAUUCUGUGUCAGAAACCUAUGAUGUGUCAACUAUUUAAUCACAAUCCAAAUUCAGAGCUGUAUUCAGCUUGAAUGUUGUGUCCAUACUUGCCUCAACCUUCAGGGUUCGACCUCUGCAGUCGUAUAAAGCUGCACCCUGCGGAGUAUCUGGUUAAAUUGGUCACAAUUUAGGUCCAAAUGCCAUACAUAUUAUACACAGGUAAUGUGUAGUACACAUGCAUGAAUAGAGUUAGUUUUCAUUAUUUAAAAAAAAAAGGAAAAUAUGUAGUAUCAUUGCCAAUGAGACAACUAUUCAUCAGGUCAAAAUGACUGAAUGUUAGCAACUAAAGAUCACUUUACAUGUAUGUACAGCUUUCAACAAUGAGCAAAACCAAUACAGCAUCAAGCAAGCUAUGUCCUGGAAUGACAGAUGUAAAACAAUUCCAAAGAGAAAAUUAAGGGCCUGAUUUACAUAAAAGCGAAAAAAACAACCAUGAGAUAAAUACAUGUAGCAAAAACAACAACUAUUAUUUCUCCACUCCAGUUGUUCACACGAUAUUUAUGUAUAUAUAUAUAUGUAAGUUUGGUAAAUCAUUACUUAUCAAAUUUAUGUUAUCAUUUUUUGCUUGAUUGGUAAGCCAAUAUUUUAUGGUUAUUUUUUUUUUAAUUACAGCAACUGUAUUCCAAGAGUCUGAUGGCUGAUAAUGUAUUACAGGAUUUUAUCAUUCAAGCAACAUCUUAGAAGGAUAAGUGCAAAUGUAUGAAGGAAGCCGUGGGUACAAAUAGCAAUUACAGCAGAUACAUGCAGGAGAGAACUCUUAAACAAAGACAUGAUAUGGGAGUGAUGUAUUCAAGAAAUCUCAAA
This 4549-nucleotide long non-coding RNA is filed under the name Mytilus galloprovincialis (Mediterranean mussel). The record is from RNAcentral. Lineage: Eukaryota; Metazoa; Mollusca; Bivalvia; Mytilida; Mytilidae.